AUGGCGACCCUCGUGGCCACCAUGGUGGUCGGACCACUGCUAUCCAUUGUGAAGGACAAGGCGUCUAGCUACCUCCUCGACCAGUAUAAGGUGAUGAAAGGCAUGGAAGAGCAACAUGAGAUCCUGAAGCGCAAAUUGCCUGCCAUCCUGGAUAUCAUCACCGAUGCUGAGCAGGCAGCAACCCACAGAGAAGGCGUAGCAGCCUGGCUCGAGGCCAUCAAGAACGUGGCUUACCAGGCGAAUGAAGUUUUUGACGAGUUCAAGUAUGAGGCGCUCCGUCGUCAAGCAAAAAAGAAGGGGCACUACAAGGAGCUUGGCUUUGAUGUGGUAAAACUCUUUCCCACACACAACCGUUUCAUAUUCCGUAAUAGAAUGGGAAGAAAGCUCCGCAAGAUUGUGCAGGCCAUUGAGGUCCUUGUGUCCGAAAUGAAUGCCUUUGGCUUUAAGUAUCAGCAACAACCGCCGGUAUCCAGUCAGUUACGGCGGACAGGUCCUGCUAUCAUUGAUCCAAAGGAAAUCAAGGAAAUCAUCAGCAAAUCCAGAGCCAAUGAUAAGGGUGCAAUUGUUAGUAGACUAGUUGGGCAAGCUAAUAAUGAAGAUCUCACAGUUGUUCCCAUCGUUGGAAUGGGGGGUCUCGGCAAGACCACGCUAGCACAACUUGUUUACAAGGAACCUACAAUUCAAGAGCAUUUUGGUUUGUUUAUAUGGGUGUGUGUCUCUGAAUGCUUUGAUGUGCAUUCUCUGGCUAAAAGUAUAGUUGAAGCAGCUCUUAGGAAGAAGGAUGAUGGUACAGAAGCAACUCCCAGGCAGAAGAAUGAUGGUACAGAAGCAGUUUCUGAGAAGAUACCACUUGAUACCCUUCAGAAUGUUGUGAGCGGGCAAAGGUACCUCCUUGUAUUGGAUGAUGUCUGGGAACGACAAGUUCAUAUUUGGGAUGAGCUCAAGGCCUGCCUUCAACAUGGUGGCAGGGGUAGUGUGGUUUUAACAACAACUCGUGAUAAAGGAGUGGCUAAAAAAAUGGGUCAUGAUGUUGAAGCCUAUAAUCUCCAACCUUUGGGAGAUCAAUUCAUAAAGGAAAUCAUUGAGACAAGAGCAUUUAGCUAUUUACACAGGGAAGAGGAAAGGCCUGACAAGUUGGUAAAUAUGGUUGAUGAGAUUGUGAAGAGAUGUGUUGGUUCUCCUUUAGCUGCAACGGCACUUGGCUCUGUACUACGUAACAAAACCAGUGAGGAAGAAUGGAAAGCUAUAUCAACCACAAGCAGCAUUUGCACCGAGGAGACUGGAAUUUUACCAAUACUCAAGCUCAGUUACAAUGACUUGCCAUCACAAAUGAAGCAAUGCUUUGUUUUUUGUGCUGUAUUUCCCAAAGAUUACGAGAUUCAUAUGAACAAGUUGAUCCAACUAUGGAUUGCACAUGGAUUCAUCCAGGAAAAGCAAGCUCAUCUUGAAACCAUUGGCAAACUGAUUUUCGAUGAGCUAGCAUCAAGGUCAUUCUUUCAGGAUGUGGAACUAGGCCAAGCCACGAAACCCUCAACAACAAAAAAAGUUCAUGCCACAAGUAGUCAGGACUUCGUGUUGUGUUACUCUAGAACAGCAUGUAAAAUCCAUGAUCUUAUGCAUGAUGUUGCACUUUCGGUAAUGGAAAAGGAAUGUGCCUUGGCAACCGAGGAACCAGGCAAGAUUGAAUCUGUUGUCGCAACUGAGGAACCAAGUCAGAGUGAGUGGCUUCCAAACACAGCUCGGCAUUUAUUUUUGUCAUGCAAGGACCCAGGAAAAAAAUUGAAUUGUUCUCUGGAGAACAGCUUUCCAGCCAUCCAAACACUUUUGUGUGAUAGCUAUAUGAGUAGUUCACUGCAACAUCUGUCAAAAUACACCUCUUUGCAAGCAUUACAACUCUGUUCACAUAGAAGAUCAUUUCCGCUGAAACCAAAACAUCUACAUCACCUGAGGUACCUAGAUCUCUCAAGAAGUCAUAUCGAAGCACUUCCUGAAGAUAUCAGCAUUCUAUACAACCUUCAGACACUCAACCUCUCUGGUUGCACAUCUCUUUGUGAACUUCCGAGGCAAAUGAAGUAUAUGACUGCCCUGCAUCACCUUUACACUCAUGGUUGUCCAGAGCUGAAGAGCAUGCCAAGAGACCUCAGAAUGCUCACAUCCCUACAAACACUUACAUGCUUUGUAGUAGGUAGUGGCUCUAGUUGCAGUAAUGUGGGAGAGCUUGGAAAUUUAAACCUUGGUGGUCAACUAGAGCUGCGUAAUCUGGCAAACGUGACAGAAGUGGAUGCAAAAGCAGCAAACCUCGUGAAUAAGGAGCUAAGAAAACUGACAUUAACAUGGACUAGCUGGCGGGAUAAUGAAGAGGACACAAGAGUGCUCGAGAAUCUCAAACCUCAUGAUGGACUAGAUGCCAUAAGGAUACACUCAUAUGGAGCCACCACCUUCCCGACAUGGAUGACUAUGUUGCAAAACUUUGUUGAAAUCAAUCUUUUCAGCUGUAGAAAACUAGUAUGGUUGUUCAGCGGUAGGUGUGAUAGAUCGUUUACAUUUCCAAAUCUGAAGAAGCUUAAGCUAGUAAGUAUGCCUUGUUUGGAGAGAUGGUGGGAAAUAGAUAAUGAUGGGAUGCAAGAGAAGAGAAUGUUUCCUCUGCUUGAGAAGUUGUGUAUUAUUGGCUGUAUAAAGUUGAAAGCAUUUCCAGGACAUCCGACCUUCCUAACCUACAGAAUGUUUGUAUUGUGGGAUGCCCAGAAUUGA
RNAcentral lists this ribosomal RNA (2751 nucleotides) under Triticum aestivum (bread wheat). Its description in RNAcentral is "partial small subunit ribosomal RNA". Lineage: Eukaryota; Viridiplantae; Streptophyta; Magnoliopsida; Poales; Poaceae. The record is from RNAcentral.